Non-coding RNA from Carica papaya (papaya), 2721 nucleotides. NCBI's taxonomy places the organism in Eukaryota, Viridiplantae, Streptophyta, Magnoliopsida, Brassicales, Caricaceae. The record is from RefSeq and is a predicted model, not a curated record.
AGUGUGGAUGGGAGAGCCCAUGACUGUAGUUUAUGGAAGAAUAUAUUAAAGGGUAGGAAAGCCUUUGUGGAAUGUACUAGAUGGUGUGUUGAAAAUGGUUUAAAGAUAAGGUUUUGGGAUGAUACUUGGGUUGGAAAUGCUAGACUUAAAGACAGAUUUCCAAGAAUUUUCGAGAUUGCUCAGAACAGAAAUAUGACGGUAAGGGAGGCAUAUGUGGAAAAUGGAGACCAUAGCUAGUGGGAUGUGCAGGUGAAGAGAAAUUUGAAUGAUUGGGAGAUUGAUGAUUUUCAGCAACUAUAUCUGGUAUUAUCUGAAUUAAAAGUGGGUGGCCGGGAUGAUUAUAAACAGUGGACGUUGGAGAAAUAUGAGAUUUUUUCUGUGAAAUCCCUAUAUUGUAACCUUUGAGGUGGAAAGGUGAAAGCUGAAUCUGUGUUUCCAUUUAAGCAAGUAUGGAGACUAAAGCACCUCCAAGAUUGACUUUUUUUAUGGGAAGUGUGCAGAGGAAGUGUUUUAACUAUAGAUGUGCUCAUGAGGAAGGGGAGAUGAAUGGUGAAUAGAUGUUAUAUGUGCAAAUGUUAUGCUGAACCUUGUAACCAUAUAUUAUUGUGGUGUUCGCCAGAUCUAUGAAUUUCUAUUUAUGGAAUGUUGGGAAUCAAAUGGGUUAUAGUGGGGUCGGUUAAGGAUGAAUUGUGGGCUUGGGGUAGAUUGUGUGAUAAGAAAAAAUAUUUAAUGCUGAUUCCAUUAUCUCUAACGUGAGUUGUGUGGAAAGAGAGAAAUUCAAGAGCUUUUGAGGGAAUAGAAAAUAAUUUUAAAAACAUCAAGGAUAGAUGGUUUCAUCUUUUUGAUUCUUUAUUCUUGGAACAUAAUAUUCAGGAUCUUGAAAAUUUGAGGAUGGUUUUAAAUCAUUUGAUUGAGCUGUAACUGUUGUAUAUUGGGCAGUACCUCCUUGGUACCUUUGGAAUGAUAUCUCUUUUUAUUUCAAAAAAAAAAAAAGAGUCACAAGGUUAUAUUCUUCUUCUCCUUGUAGCCACCCCAUAGAAAUCUACCCCAUAUAGCCUCUAGCUUCUUUCUCACUCUAGCCACAAGGUUAUAUUCCCAUAAAGUAAAUUGGAAUAUUAGCCUGGGAAGUUAUCCAUUUUGGAGAUGUUAUGUCUUUAUUUCCAAGAAUCUGGACCCUGACUUGAUCAAUUUACUGUUGGGACCUGCAAAAAAAUCAUAAAGUUGUUCUUUUUCAAGAGAAUUCUUCAACAUUAUAGCAUCUUUUGCGUGCUUAAUUGCAGCACUCCAAUAAUGGUCACAUUCUUGGCAUAUACGCUGUAUUUGCAUUAUGGGUUACUGUUUAACUGCCUUGUUUCAUUGUUCUGUCACAUGCUCUACAAAAGGUUUUUAUAGUCGGCAAUAAUGUUUAAGGAUGAAAUCAUUUUGGUUGUUUCUAAUAUCUUGUCUAGAAUGGUGUGUAGAAUCUCCUGUAAGGAUCCACAGCAAAGACAUAAGACGAGGAUUCUGGUGAUUAAAGUUGUGGAUAGAAAGCUCAAGUCUAGUGAGGGAGCAUGCGAUGCAGUUUGGCAGCUGUUACCAGUGAUAAAUCCACAAUGAACUCUGUUUUUUUUUUCUUAACAGAAAUGUAUGGGCAUAAGUUGGCAAUGAAGGCCAAUGAAAAUCUAGGACAGAGCCUAGGGCCAUGUGGAAUUUUUUGGACAGCAACCGAUUUUUUUGUAUGUUGAGAAGGAGCAUAUACAUGGGUAGGUCUAUGGGUAGAAUAGUAGUUAUUUUUUGAGGUAGUUACAAAGAGAAAAAAUAGGAAACUGAUUACAUCAAAUCAAAUUAAUUUGCUAAUACUGAGACAGAAGACAGUGAUUUUCCCACAGGAAGCACAUGUGAAGAAGAGUUAUUUCAUUUUUUUCCUAGGGAUGUCUAGUUGUUGGCAUUUAUUAUUUGCAAUUUACCAGUGUGGAACCAACAAUAGGAAGAAAUGUGAUCAUCUACACUUAUUCCUUAGGAAUCUGUCCGAGACAGAUGAAAUGGUAUAACUCCCUUUGGUCUAGAAAUUUUGGCUAUUUUUGUUAAACUUUUUGGUCAGGAUGUCAUUGAUUUUGGCUAGGAAAUUAUCAGCUUAGAUCCUAGAAACUUGAAGCAAAUGUUGUAGCAUCCUAUACACGUACUCCAAGGAGGUGAAUAAAUCUGCUAAAUUUCACAAAUUAGAGUAUUUCUCUAGAGAUUGAGGGUUUUCUUCAUCGUUGAUGCGAAACAAAAGGGUACUUUUUACUGAACCCUAAAAUAUUAUCAUCAUAGGUUGAUAAAGACUGGAAGUCUGACAGGCCAGCGUCCCACUUUGUGCAAGAUUUCAUAUGUUUUUAAUGUAUUUUUUGCUAGAUUUCAUGGUUGUCCGACCAUGGUGACAUCUCAACCUGGAGACCAUGACAGAUCUUUAUCUUUUAGCUUGUUGCUGUUUGUGGUCCAUUUAAUAGAAUUGAUAAUUCUGAUACAGGGAACAUGAUAAGAAGGUUUGCUGUUUGGGAUUAACUUCAGUAAUUGGUCUCCCUGCUGAUCAGUUACCAGGGGAAGCUUUGGAGCGUGUUUUCAAGGCCACUCUUGAUCUCUUAGUUGCAUACAAAGAGCAAGUUGCAGCUGCCAAAGAGGAAGAGGCCGAAGAAGAUGAUGAUAUGGAUGGCUUUCAAACUGAUGAUGAAGAUGAUGAUGGUGAUGGGUCUGACAAGGAAA